UGGAUCAAGUGUCGUGCAUUCACUGUUACAUAAUAUGCAUUGCCAAUAUUGUAACGGCCCCACCUCCCCCUGAGGCGAACCAGAGGGUUCGGCGGGCCGCCUGCCCAACUCUCGCCGGGACUCAGUCGUUCACUACAAUCCUCAAAUAUAUUACAAGAAUAAACCUCAAAUAUUACAAUGUAAAUCUCCAAUAUUUACAUAUAAACAAAACGAAGCGGAAACUAAUUCCAAGCGUGGAACGUAUGUAUACAUCCGAUCGAUUCCAAACAUUCAUUACAAUCCCUAAUAAUAACUAUUACACAAAAGGAAAUCCAAAUUCAAACCAUACACGAAAUAAUCCAUCCAUUCACAUGAAUAAGCACAACAAGUCCUGCCUUCGCCUUGAGCCCUGUGGAGGGGAAUAAAAUAUUUUUGGGGUGAGUUAGAAGCUCAGCGAGUAACCAAAUAAAACCAGUAAUCAAAUAUCUUUCACAAUAAUUCAUUUCGAUGAUGUCAUGAUGUCAUGAUUCAAGUAUCAAAUGCACGUAUUUUUGCUCUCGUGAGCCAGUGAAAUCAUUGAAACUAAACACCCAACGCUCAAACAGAUCACGAAACCAUAAACAUUAAAGGGGAGCAGCAUCGGUGCUCCAGAUCAUAUCACAAACUCACGAAAGUGGUGGAGACGUUGGUGUCCAGCACAAGACUCCUCAAGAACUCAUUAAAGCCAAACCAUGUCAAGAACUCGUAUGCGCGCACACAUGAUAUGCAAACCAAAGAAACAAUGCAAGGAACAUUUCAAAAGUAACUUUGGAAACAGUUUAGGGUCACUCACCUCCAUGGCUCAGAAAUCAUCCAUCAUAUAACAUUGCCUUGCUCAAAUCCAAGUCUUAGAUCACAAACUCAAAGCAAUCAAACCCUUUAAAAGUUCGGACAGCACUUCCCCUAAAUUUGCUUACUUUUCCAGCCAUCAUGGCUUCAUUAUUUUCUCAGCCAGUUCCAAAGGUACACACACAACAACAAGUUCAUCCAAUAGUCAUUCAGCAAGCUCCAAGUAGUACAAAGACAAGUCAAGCUAGGAAGAAGUCCGGAAAUGAAAGUUAAGCUCAAAACCAAAAAACAGGUUUUGACGUCAUUUUGCGGUAAUGGUACCAAAGGCACUACGAUUGUCGGAUGAAGGUGCAAGAUACACCGUUUCGAAGCUAAGAGAUAGGUUUACAAUAUUGCAGAAGGUCACUCAACCCAGUUUCGAGUGUAACCAGGUCAAAAAUGCAAGAUACCACACCAGAAUCACAAAAACAGAUUCACAAAACGCAUUCUAGCGGAAACAUCAUAACUCAGGCUCUCCAAAUCCAAAUCCAGCAAUUCCAAAACCAGAUGAAAGCUAAGAAACAGGGUUAAAUUUCAUCAGAAGACCUCAACAACUAAUUCGGAAGCAAUUCCAGCCAAAACAACCAAUUACAGACGCACUUCUCAAUUUUGGGUAAAACCAGAACAGCAAUAGUAAUUUCGACUUUUCUCAUUCCACACUGCUCCGAUUGACCUGAAAUUUUGUAGGCACCUUUAAAAUGUCAUUCCCUACAACUUUCAUGUUUUAAACAAAGGCCAAUUCGACCUCUAUCUAGGACCUAAAAAUUCAGACAGAAUGUUCAUCACAAAACCCUGAUUUUCUGAAAUUUCUUCCAAAACAGAAAUUGAUUGCAAUUAAUCACUUUUUCCACCUCAUAGAGUCCUUAAACAUCAUUUCCAAUCAUCAUAUAUAGCCACACAAUCAUAUCCAUAUGAAAACAGAAAAAUCCCCAAAAAUAAUAAAAUUUCAUCAUUUUCAACCAAAAUCAGGAAAUCAACCAUAAAAUCACUUAUUCAACCACCACCAAUCACUAAUUGAACAUUAUCAAGAUCAAAGGAAAGGUUCCUUAGUCACUUACCUUACAAACCCAAGAAAAGACCCAACUUAGCACCUUUGCUUCUCAAACCACUUCACUACACACCUUAAUACUACCAAGAGAAAGGUUUUUAUGGAGCAAAUCCAAGUUUAAUCGGUUAAAUUGUUUGAUUGAAGCAAGAAAUGAAGAAGUAAGAUGAAAGCUUUCCUUUCUUCCUUUCUUGAGAGAGGUUCGGGCAUGAAGCUUGGAAAUGGAGCAAAUUUUUGGUAAAGUUUUAGUUUAUU
This 2146-nucleotide long non-coding RNA is filed under the name Coffea arabica (coffee). RNAcentral's name for it is "long non-coding RNA (CARA_LNC000994)". Lineage: Eukaryota; Viridiplantae; Streptophyta; Magnoliopsida; Gentianales; Rubiaceae. The record is from RNAcentral.